This 255-nucleotide ribosomal RNA is filed under the name uncultured bacterium. RNAcentral describes it as "partial 16S ribosomal RNA". It matches the Rfam family "Bacterial small subunit ribosomal RNA", at positions 524 to 776 of the family's 1533-position model. The record is from RNAcentral.
UACGUAGGGUGCGAGCGUUGUCCGGAAUUAUUGGGCGUAAAGAGCUCGUAGGCGGUGUGUCACGUCGGCCGUGAAAACCUGCAGCUUAACUGUGGGCGUGCGGUCGAUACGGGCAUCACUGGAGUUCGGCAGGGGAGACUGGAAUUCCUGGUGUAGCGGUGAAAUGCGCAGAUAUCAGGAGGAACACCGGUGGCGAAGGCGGGUCUCUGGGCCGAUACUGACGUGGAGGAGCGAAAGCGUGGGGGAGCGAACAGG